CCUCUAGCUGAUGAAGAACUGAUCUCUUAUCUCCUUCGAGGCCUAGGAUCUGAUUUUGAUCCAUUGGUGACAAGCAUCACCACUCGCACUGAUGCGUACACUGUCAAUGAUGUCUAUGCACAUAUGCUUGAUUUUGAGA
This is a small nucleolar RNA of Phragmites australis (common reed), 139 nucleotides long. RefSeq annotates it as small nucleolar RNA Z247. Lineage: Eukaryota; Viridiplantae; Streptophyta; Magnoliopsida; Poales; Poaceae. The record is from RefSeq and is a predicted model, not a curated record. The transcript has a single exon.